UACGGGGGGAGCAAGCGUUGUUCGGAAUCACUGGGCGUAAAGGGCGUGUAGGCGGUUCGGUAAGUGGGAUGUGAAAUGCCCGGGCUCACCCCGGGACCUGCAUCUCAUACUGCUGAGCUUGAGUACAGGAGAGGGUGGGGGAAUUCCUGGUGUAGCGGUGAAAUGCGUAGAUAUCGGGAGGAACACCAGUGGCGAAGGCGACUUCCUGGCCUGUUCUUGACGCUGAGGCGCGAAAGCUAGGGGAGCAAACGGG
RNAcentral lists this ribosomal RNA (253 nucleotides) under uncultured bacterium. Its description in RNAcentral is "partial 16S ribosomal RNA". It matches the Rfam family "Bacterial small subunit ribosomal RNA", at positions 524 to 776 of the family's 1533-position model. The record is from RNAcentral.